This 674-nucleotide ribosomal RNA is filed under the name Enterobacter sp. Its description in RNAcentral is "bacterial SSU rRNA". Lineage: Bacteria; Pseudomonadati; Pseudomonadota; Gammaproteobacteria; Enterobacterales; Enterobacteriaceae. The record is from RNAcentral.
UUGCUACUUUGCCGGCGAGCGGCGGACGGGUGAGUAAUGUCUGGGAAACUGCCUGAUGGAGGGGGAUAACUACUGGAAACGGUAGCUAAUACCGCAUAACGUCGCAAGACCAAAGAGGGGGACCUUCGGGCCUCUUGCCAUCAGAUGUGCCCAGAUGGGAUUAGCUAGUAGGUGGGGUAACGGCUCACCUAGGCGACGAUCCCUAGCUGGUCUGAGAGGAUGACCAGCCACACUGGAACUGAGACACGGUCCAGACUCCUACGGGAGGCAGCAGUGGGGAAUAUUGCACAAUGGGCGCAAGCCUGAUGCAGCCAUGCCGCGUGUAUGAAGAAGGCCUUCGGGUUGUAAAGUACUUUCAGCGGGGAGGAAGGYGUUGAGGUUAAUAACCUCAGCRAUUGACGUUACCCGCAGAAGAAGCACCGGCUAACUCCGUGCCAGCAGCCGCGGUAAUACGGAGGGUGCAAGCGUUAAUCGGAAUUACUGGGCGUAAAGCGCACGCAGGCGGUCUGUCAAGUCGGAUGUGAAAUCCCCGGGCUCAACCUGGGAACUGCAUUCGAAACUGGCAGGCUAGAGUCUUGUAGAGGGGGGGUAGAAUUCCAGGUGUAGCGGUGAAAUGCGUAGAGAUCUGGAGGAAUACCGGUGGCGAAGGCGGCCCCCUGGACAAGACUGACGCU